GCCCCCACCAUCGACCACUUCCCCUCCUCGAGCCAGCGCUAACCAUGCUGGAUUCUACCCCCACCAACGAGCCUCGUCCUCCCUCGCUCGCGCCCCCUACUAUUCGACUCUUUCCUACUUCAGCCAGGACCUCGAAGACUCCCAGCUGGUUUUCUCUUGGAUUUCGACGAAUAGUUUAGGUAUCUGGCUUUUACUUCAACCCUUCUGCCGGUUAUGUCGAGAGUACGUGACUUUUCCUUGGUUAAUCCUCGUAUCUAUUCUCAGCGGUACCCAUGCGAGAAUCAGAACUUGAAGAUAGCUGUGAACAAUUUCACGUUGUCCAAAUCACUGUCAGGACGAAUAUAUAGAAUGAAAUCGGUAAUUGGAUAUCGUUCUCAAAGGAUUAAAGUCAAAAGAUGCUUACGAAAUUAACCAUGGUGGUUUUUGGAUGUACCGUGUGGGUGAACCUAGCAUUAGAGAGGCUAAUUGCGUCUCUCUUGUUGCCAAGCUUUGCAUUUAUUACCACAGUAAAAUUCAGGUUGUGUAGAGGAUUAUGUAUCAGGGAUCAAUAUGAAUAGCGACGUCCACUAUCGUCUGCCACCGGCAUUUGCCCGUUAGCUGUAAACACGACACCAACGUGGUGCCACCGGCAUCUGUCUGUCAUCUUGUAACCGACACCAAUGUGCUGCCACCGAAUGACACGGCGGACUACCACGAAACUCCGGCGCGUGUACAACCUCAAAGGGUAUUCAAUAAAACAUGGCCAUUGAAAGGAAUGAGGCGCUACGGAGAGGAGUUCCCUUGCAAAUAACGUAAACAGUAUUGUCGAUGAUAGGAAUUGUCGCGCCUGCAGCGCGCUUCGAGCCGCAGCUUCCGAAGUUGGGCGAUAUCUUCGAUGAAAGGAUUCUCCAAGGCACUUAUCGCGGUGCAGGAAAACUGCAUAUUUAUGGAAACUGCGUUCUUCUAGUAUGCUGUAAACAGCCUGGCACCAGACUUCAUAACUUGAACAGUUCUAAGAGAAGAAACGUGAGACCGAUCAUAUUAACCGGCAUGGUAGGUUUAGCGUUAAAAACGCAACGGUGUGUCGACACAUUGCUACGAGAACUUACGUUACGAAAUUCUU
This is a long non-coding RNA of Megalopta genalis, 1102 nucleotides long. RefSeq lists it as uncharacterized. The record is from RefSeq and is a predicted model, not a curated record. Lineage: Eukaryota; Metazoa; Arthropoda; Insecta; Hymenoptera; Halictidae.